RNAcentral lists this ribosomal RNA (465 nucleotides) under uncultured bacterium. RNAcentral's name for it is "bacterial SSU rRNA". It matches the Rfam family "Bacterial small subunit ribosomal RNA", at positions 330 to 792 of the family's 1533-position model. The record is from RNAcentral.
UCCAGACUCCUACGGGAGGCAGCAGUGAGGAAUAUUGGUCAAUGGGCGCGAGCCUGAACCAGCCAAGUCGCGUGAGGGAAGACGGUCCUAUGGAUUGUAAACCUCUUUUGUCGGGGAGCAAGGCCCGCCACGUGUGGCGGGAAGGAGAGUACCCGGAGAAAAAGCAUCGGCUAACUCCGUGCCAGCAGCCGCGGUAAUACGGAGGAUGCGAGCGUUAUCCGGAUUUAUUGGGUUUAAAGGGUGCGCAGGCGGCGAGUUAGGUCAGGGGUAAAAUUUGGGGGCUCAACCCCGACAAGCCGUUGAAACUGGCUUGCUAGAGUGGGCGAGAAGUAUGCGGAAUGCGUGGUGUAGCGGUGAAAUGCAUAGAUAUCACGCAGAACUCCGAUUGCGAAGGCAGCAUACCGGCGCCCAACUGACGCUCAGGCACGAAAGCGUGGGUAUCGAACAGGAUUAGAUACCCCUGUA